Acanthosepion pharaonis is the source of this 109-nucleotide non-coding RNA. NCBI's taxonomy places the organism in Eukaryota, Metazoa, Mollusca, Cephalopoda, Sepiida, Sepiidae. The record is from the annotation of a GenBank genome assembly.
UUACGGCCAUAUUACAUUGAAACAUUGGUUCUCGUUCGAUCACCGUAGUUAAGCAACCACGAGCCUGGUCGGUACCUAGUUGGGUGACCGCGUGGGAAUAUCAGGUGAU